This 1272-nucleotide ribosomal RNA is filed under the name Faxonius propinquus. RNAcentral's name for it is "16S ribosomal RNA". The stretch from base 834 to 1221 matches the Rfam family "Bacterial large subunit ribosomal RNA", at positions 2049 to 2651 of the family's 2925-position model. Lineage: Eukaryota; Metazoa; Arthropoda; Malacostraca; Decapoda; Cambaridae. The record is from RNAcentral.
UUACGAGAUAGUUGUUAAUUGGUAUUAAUAAGAAAAAGAUUUUAUUAAAUAUAGUAAAUUGAAUUGAACAAUAUUAAAGACUUAGUGAAUAUUACUGUAGAGGAAACUUGAAAUAAUUUAAGAGUUAAUAAUAAAAAAGUAGUAUUAAAAUUACGUAUCUUGUGUAUAAUAGAUAUUUAAAUUUAUGCAUUUCUAUUUGCAGGUCUCGAAAGAAAAAUAGUUAAAUUAAAAAAUAAGUUUUUGUAGCAGAAAAAUUUGUAAUUUUAUUUUAGGAGUGAGAUGUUAAUCGGGGUUUUUGAUAUCUAGUUUUUUAAGAAGUAAAUUUAAAUUAGUGUUUUUAUGUAAUUUAUAAAAACAGUAAAUAUAAAGGGGAUUAGCUCUUUAUUAUUUAAUAUUAUAAAAAAGUAAUUUAAAGGGGUUUAACUAAGCUUAAAAUUAGCUAGGUUUAUAAGGUGUUAUAAGUGAAAUCAAAAAUAAUAAUAUUUAUUUAUCUUUUAAUUGUUUAUUAAAAAUUACUUAGGAAUAUAAUUGGAGUAGUUAUAAUGAGUAUAUUAGUAUAUAGUGGGGUAAGGGAUUAAUUUAAAUUAAUAUAGGGGGUUUACAGGGAUUUAGAUUUUUUUUUAAGGAAUUCGGCAAAAAUUAUUUCUGCCUGUUUAACAAAAACAUGUCUGUAUGAGAGGUUUAUAAAGUCUGACCUGCCCAUUGGAAAACUAAAAGGCCGCGGUAUUAUGACCGUGCAAAGGUAGCAUAAUCAUUAGUUUUUUAAUUGAAGGCUAGAAUGAAUGGUUGGACAAGAAAUAAUCUGUCUUAAAUUAAAAUAUUGAAUUUAACUUUAAAGUGAAAAGGCUUUAAUGAUCUAAUGGGACGAUAAGACCCUAUAAAACUUUAUAUUUUAAGGUAGAAAUUAAUUUUAUUUUAAAGUUACUAUUUUAAAGUGUUUUGUUGGGGCGACAAGAAUAUAAGAAAUAAUAACUGUUUUUUAUUUCUACAAUAAUAUUUGAUUUAUUGAUCCUAAAAAGGAUAAAAGAUUAAGUUACUUUAGGGAUAACAGCGUAAUUUUUUUUGAGAGUUCUUAUCGACAAGAAAGUUUGCGACCUCGAUGUUGAAUUAAAGGUUCUUUAUAGAGUAGAGACUAUAAGAGAAGGUCUGUUCGACCUUUAAAUUUUUACAUGAUUUGAGUUCAGACCGGUGUAAGCCAGGUUGGUUUCUAUCUUUUAGGAUAAGUUAAAUUAUUUUAGUACGAAAGGAUUGAGUAAUUGAAAAAAUUUUUAU